This is a long non-coding RNA of Ipomoea nil (Japanese morning glory), 404 nucleotides long. RefSeq lists it as uncharacterized. Lineage: Eukaryota; Viridiplantae; Streptophyta; Magnoliopsida; Solanales; Convolvulaceae. The record is from RefSeq and is a predicted model, not a curated record. The transcript has 2 exons.
ACAAGAGCUUUACUGCGUUACUUGAAAUAGUAAAGGACAUGCUUCCAGAUGGUAAUGAACUUCCCAAUAGUACGUAUGAUGCCAAAAAGAUUUUGUGUCUAAUGGGUAUGGGAUAUACAAAGAUACAUGCUUGCCCUAACGAUUGCAUAUUGUUUAGGAAUGAUUACAAAGACUUGCAUGCAUGUCCAAUAUGUGGGGCAUCUCGUUAUAAAACAAGCGAGAAUGUUGCUGGUAAAGUACGUUUGAAAAGAUCAAAGGAUUUCUGAUGGCAAGCUUCGACACCCGGCUGAUUCUUCUCAAUGGAUAACAUUUGAUAAUGCAUUUCCUGAAUUUGGUCACGAGGCGAGAAAUCUUAGACUUGGACUUUGUACUGAUGGUAUUAACCCCCACGGGAAUCUAAGUAG